GACAACCUCCCAAGCCAUCAAAUGAAUGCCGCUCCUACCAUCCCAUCUGCCCCACAUAAAAUUUCUAAAUAGCUGCUCCAUAGACCUCAGUAGGGACACCGAAACCUGUGAGCUCGCCAAUAAGUACACUAGAAUCGAACUCGAAACCGACCGCACCAGAAUGAUACGCCCCAUCAUGGAUAGAGUGUCCACCUGUCAUUCCUCCAGUCUAUGUCUAAUGCUCAACUCAACCUUGGAGCAGUCACUGCGCCAGAGACGACGACCUGUAAUGGGCACCCCCAGGUACUGCAUCAUACCGUCCUGCUCACCCACACCCAGAAUCUCACUAAUGGAAGUCUUGAUCUGUCGCUGGGUC
RNAcentral lists this long non-coding RNA (355 nucleotides) under Phoenix dactylifera (date palm). Its description in RNAcentral is "long non-coding RNA (PDAC_LNC007691)". The record is from RNAcentral. Lineage: Eukaryota; Viridiplantae; Streptophyta; Magnoliopsida; Arecales; Arecaceae.